UCCCUGGUGGUCCAGUAGUUAGGAUAUUGCACUUCUAUUGCAGGAGGCCUGGGUUCAAUCCCUGGUCAGGGAA
RNAcentral lists this transfer RNA (73 nucleotides) under Tursiops truncatus (common bottlenose dolphin). RNAcentral describes it as "tRNA-Arg (TCT) (tRNA-Arg-TCT-16-1)". It matches the Rfam family "tRNA". From Rfam's summary of the family: Transfer RNA (tRNA) molecules are approximately 80 nucleotides in length. Their secondary structure includes four short double-helical elements and three loops (D, anti-codon, and T loops). Further hydrogen bonds mediate the characteristic L-shaped molecular structure. tRNAs have two regions of fundamental functional importance: the anti-codon, which is responsible for specific mRNA codon recognition, and the 3' end, to which the tRNAs corresponding amino acid is attached (by aminoacyl-tRNA synthetases). tRNAs cope with the degeneracy of the genetic code in two manners: having more than one tRNA (with a specific anti-codon) for a particular amino acid; and 'wobble' base-pairing, i.e. permitting non-standard base-pairing at the 3rd anti-codon position. Lineage: Eukaryota; Metazoa; Chordata; Mammalia; Artiodactyla; Delphinidae. The record is from Rfam by way of RNAcentral. RNAcentral also lists the same sequence under 1 other name.